UACGUAGGGGGCUAGCGUUGUCCGGAAUCAUUGGGCGUAAAGCGCGUGUAGGCGGUCCGGUAAGUCCGCUGUGAAAGUCGGGGGCUCAACCCUCGAAUGCCGGUGGAUACUGUCGGGCUAGAGUGCGGAAGAGGCGAGUGGAAUUCCUGGUGUAGCGGUGAAAUGCGCAGAUAUCAGGAGGAACACCAAUUGCGAAGGCAGCUCGCUGGCCCGGUACUGACGCUGAGGUGCGAAAGCGUGGGGGAGCAAACAGG
This 254-nucleotide ribosomal RNA is filed under the name uncultured bacterium. RNAcentral's name for it is "partial 16S ribosomal RNA". It matches the Rfam family "Bacterial small subunit ribosomal RNA", at positions 524 to 776 of the family's 1533-position model. The record is from RNAcentral.